CCUACGGGUGGCAGCAGUGAGGAAUAUUGGUCAAUGGCCGGAAGGCUGAACCAGCCAAGCCGCGUGAAGGACGAAGGUGCCAAGCAUUGUAAACUUCUUUUGUCAAGGGACAAAAUCAGGCUCGAGAGCCUUACUGUGGGUACUUUAAGAAUAAGGAUCGGCUAACUCCGUGCCAGCAGCCGCGGUAAUACGGAGGAUGCGAGCGUUAUCCGGAUUUAUUGGGUUUAAAGGGUGCGUAGGUGGACUGUUAAGUCAGUGGUAAAAGCCUGGGGCUCAACCUCGGCUAGCCAUUGAAACUGGCUGUCUUGAGAUGUCGAGAGGUAUGCGGAAUGCGCAGUGUAGCGGUGAAAUGCUUAGAUAUUGCGCAGAACUCCGAUUGCGAAGGCAGCAUACCGGCGGCGAUCUGACGCUGAGGCACGAAAGCGUGGGUAUCGAACAGGAUUAGAUACCCGUGUAGUC
This 459-nucleotide ribosomal RNA is filed under the name uncultured bacterium. RNAcentral's name for it is "partial 16S ribosomal RNA". It matches the Rfam family "Bacterial small subunit ribosomal RNA", at positions 338 to 795 of the family's 1533-position model. The record is from RNAcentral.